RNAcentral lists this ribosomal RNA (460 nucleotides) under uncultured bacterium. RNAcentral describes it as "partial 16S ribosomal RNA". It matches the Rfam family "Bacterial small subunit ribosomal RNA", at positions 338 to 795 of the family's 1533-position model. The record is from RNAcentral.
CCUACGGGAGGCAGCAGUGAGGAAUAUUGGUCAAUGGGCGUAAGCCUGAACCAGCCAAGUCGCGUGAGGGAUGAAGGUUCUAUGGAUCGUAAACCUCUUUUAUAAGGGAAUAAAGUGCGGGACGUGUCCCGUUUUGUAUGUACCUUAUGAAUAAGUAUCGGCUAACUCCGUGCCAGCAGCCGCGGUAAGACGGAGGAUCCGAGCGUUAUCCGGAUUUCUUGGGUUUAAAGGGUGCGUAGGCGGCCUUUUAAGUCAGCGGUGAAAGUCUGUGGCUCAACCAUUGAAUUGCAGUUGAAACUGGGAGGCUUGAGUAUGUAUGAGGAAGGCGGAAUGCGUGGUGUAGCGGUGAAAUGCUUAGAUAUCAUGCAGAACCCCGAUUGCGAAGGCAGCUUGCCAAGCCAUGACUGACGCUGAUGCACGAAAGAGUGGGGAUCAAACAGGAUUAGAUACCCGUGUAGUC